UGGUGAGUAACGCGUGAGGAACCUGCCUUUCGGAGGGGGACAACAGUUGGAAACGACUGCUAAUACCGCAUGACGCAUUUGGAUCGCAUGGUCUGAAUGUCAAAGAUUUAUCGCCGAAAGAUGGCCUCGCGUCUGAUUAGCUUGUUGGUGAGGUAACGGCCCACCAAGGCGACGAUCAGUAGCCGGACUGAGAGGUUGGCCGGCCACAUUGGGACUGAGAUACGGCCCAGACUCCUACGGAAGGCAGCAG
This 250-nucleotide ribosomal RNA is filed under the name uncultured bacterium. Its description in RNAcentral is "partial 16S ribosomal RNA". It matches the Rfam family "Bacterial small subunit ribosomal RNA", at positions 104 to 354 of the family's 1533-position model. The record is from RNAcentral.